Molecule: long non-coding RNA, 1038 nt
Organism: Sycon ciliatum
Lineage: Eukaryota; Metazoa; Porifera; Calcarea; Leucosolenida; Sycettidae
Exons: 3
Source: RefSeq, a predicted model, not a curated record
AAUUGAGCACCGGGGCAUUGGCAGGAAUUGUCAUUGGAAGCUUACUGGCAGUUGCAGUGUGUGGAGGUGUUGUUUUAACACUGUCCAAGAGAAAGUCUCCAGGAUUGAGGAAAAAUAUUUCUCUGACAAACAGAGAACAACAAGGUCAGCCAAGGCUAGUUAGUGGCAGCUCAGAGGAUGCUACCGACACAAUGAAUCCUGAUUUGCUCUAAGAUGGAGGCACUCAGUCUUCCAAGGAUGCUAGCAGUGGAGCAAGGACAUUAUGUCAAUUCUAUUUGUAUUGUUUGUUAACACAGGCAGCCUCGAUAAUUGCUCCUGGGUGUGGUUUUACCAUAUGAUCAUGUACUGGUAUUGAGGACGAAAUGGUAAUACAUUCACAUGCAUACGAAGGUUGAUGUUUGUUUGUAGAGAGCAGAUGACGAACUACAGAGCUGGCACAGAUCUACUGCAUGUUUUUUUGUGUACUACGAUUUCUGCUUUAUACUGUUAGUUUGCAGAGUAAUUGUGACAAACAUACAAUUUCUUUUGAACUCUGUUUUUCUUUGCUUUGCUGAACUGUCCAUGCUACUUAUUAUUUAUUCAGUUUUAAAUAGUAAUUUGUUAUAUCACACACAUAGUCGCGUAGGAUACUGUACUCUGAGUUGUCGCUGUUAGGCAUUUCUUCUGUAUGCUUAUGAUUGCAUGCAUUGCACUGUAGUUGUGCCCUCUAAGUUCCCUGUUGCGGCCGUGCAAAAAAAGUAAUUCAGCACCUUUCUUCUUUGAUUUCUCCUGCGUGAGAAGGAUUUUGGACUUCUCUUUUUAAUAUUCUUCAGAAACCUGCCUGCAGUUUUGUAUUUCGCUACGCUUUGCUAGGGUAUCUGUGUGAGGAUGUAUGCCCUCAACAGUAUUUUGUGUACUGUAAGGUGUGUUCAACACACUGACACCCACAACCAGUGAAUGAUAAUAAUGAUACAUGUAAUAAUGUUUAGAAUCAACUCGUAAAAACUCCAAGUCAAUCUUCAAUUGACACAAACCUCGUUUAUUCAACAUAAUCAUAUC